RNAcentral lists this ribosomal RNA (253 nucleotides) under uncultured bacterium. Its description in RNAcentral is "partial 16S ribosomal RNA". It matches the Rfam family "Bacterial small subunit ribosomal RNA", at positions 524 to 776 of the family's 1533-position model. The record is from RNAcentral.
UACGUAGGGGGCAAGCGUUGUCCGGAUUUACUGGGCGUAAAGAGCGUGUAGGCGGCCAAGCAGGUCCGUUGUGAAAACUGGAGGCUUAACCUCCAGACGUCGACGGAAACCGCGUGGCUAGAGUCCGGAAGAGGAAAGUGGAAUUCCUGGUGUAGCGGUGAAAUGCGCAGAUAUCAGGAAGAACACCCGUGGCUAAGGCGGUUCUCUAGUACGGUACUGACGCUGAGACGCGAAAGCGUGGGGAGCGAACAGG